UGAGGAAUAUUGCGCAAUGGGCGAAAGCCUGACGCAGCGACACCGCGUGAAGGAUGAAGGCUUUAGGGUCGUAAACUUCUGUUAAGUGGGAAGAAAAAACUAGUCCUAAUACGACUAAGGAAUGACGGUACCACUAGAGAAAGCACCGGCUAACUUCGUGCCAGCAGCCGCGGUAAGACGAGGGGUGCAAACGUUAUUCGGAAUGAUUGGGCGUAAAGGGUGCGUAGGCUGUUCAUCAAGUCAACUGUUAAAUUUCUCAGCUUAACUGGGAGUAUGCGGUAGAAACUGGUGGACUAGAGGAUGGAAGAGAGAAGUAGAAUUCUCGGAGUAGCGGUAAAAUGCGUAGAUCUCGAGAGGAACACCGAUGGCGAAGGCAGCUUCUUGGUCCAUUUCUGACGCUGAGGCACGAAAGCGUGGGGAGCAAACAGGAUUAGAUACCCCCGUAGUCC
RNAcentral lists this ribosomal RNA (449 nucleotides) under uncultured bacterium. RNAcentral describes it as "bacterial SSU rRNA". It matches the Rfam family "Bacterial small subunit ribosomal RNA", at positions 355 to 796 of the family's 1533-position model. The record is from RNAcentral.